This 84-nucleotide transfer RNA is filed under the name Proteus mirabilis. RNAcentral's name for it is "tRNA-Leu". It matches the Rfam family "tRNA". From Rfam's summary of the family: Transfer RNA (tRNA) molecules are approximately 80 nucleotides in length. RNAcentral also lists the same sequence under 2 other names. Lineage: Bacteria; Pseudomonadati; Pseudomonadota; Gammaproteobacteria; Enterobacterales; Morganellaceae. The record is from RNAcentral.
GCCGGAGUGGCGGAAUUGGUAGACGCAGUUGAUUCAAAAUCAACCGCCUUCGGGUGUGCCGGUUCGAGUCCGCCUUCGGCACCA